CCCCGGUGUCCUCUCCCUGCCUAUUGGCACCCUUGUGGCCAGGCCUGCUCCCAGAGCAGAAUCUGGAUCUAGAGGAGGGGGCAACCCCGUCCCUACUCUCCAAGGGCAGGACACACACACACACACACACACACACACACACACACACGAGCACUCGACACAGGCGAAGAAAACGCAUAAACAAAUGCAGAGUCAUCACCAGCUGCAGGAGCUUUACGCGGCCAUGCCAGGGGCGGACAGAACGAGCAGAGAACCGGAGGCGCUGAGUCCAAACAGCUGUGUGCUGUGCUCAGGAGCUAACGCCAAGGGGGUUGAGGACCCCAAAGGCCUCCUUGGCUGGGAGGAAUGUCAAGGCCUGGCCCCUCCUCCAUCACACUGGAGGAACACAGAGGACAGGGAUGGCUUCUCCCAGGGCGUGCAGGACUCUGUCCCCGAGCUGAGUACUGAAGACCGUUUGCUGCCUGGGAAAGAGGAGACAGCUGCUUCCAGCCACAGAGAGCCGGGGAAAGAUUCACCCUGAGCUAACAUCUGCUGCAAAUCCUCCUCUUUUUGCUGAAGAAGACUGGCCCUGAGCUAACAUCCGUGCCCAUCUUCCUCUACUUUCUAUGUGGGACGCCUGCCAAGCAGUGCCAUGUCCGCACCCGGGAUCCGAACUGGCAAACCCCAGGCUGUCAAAGCAGAACAUGCGCACUGUACUGCUGCGCCACUGGGCCGGCCCCAAAAGAGCACUGAAUUUUAACCACUAGGCCAUCAUGACUGGCUCCUUUUUUUUUUCAAGCCAGGAAAUGGACAUUGGUACAAUCCACAGACAUUCAGAUUUCACCAGUUUUACAUGGGGGUGUGUGUGUGUAGUUUCAUGCAAUUUUAUCACGCAUAGAUUCGUGUAACCACCUCUAUAAUCAAGACAGAGAACUACUCCAUUUGCAGAGAUCCCUCUGCAGUCACACAUACCCCUCUGCUCGUCCUUAACCACCCCUCCUCCCCAACCCCUGCCAGCCACUAAUCUGCUCUCCAUCUGUAUAACUAUGUCAUUUUGAGAAUGUCACAUAAAUGGAAUCAUGCAGUAUGUGCCCUUUCGAAGCUGACUUUUUUCACUCCACAGAACGCCCGUGACAUCCAUCCAACGCGUGGUGUGCGUCAACAGUUCAUCGUUUCUGGUUGCUGGGUCGUGCUCUGCAGCAUGGAUGUCCCACAGUUUGUCUAACUGUUCACCUGUUGAAUGACGUUCGGGUUGUUUCCCACUUGGGACUAAUACGAAUGAAAUUGCUGUGAACGCUCACGUACAAGCUUUUAUGUGGACCUAAGUCUUCAUUUCUUCGGGCCACGUCUAGGAAGGUGGUUGAUGGAUCACACGGGAAGAAUAUGUUCAGGUUUUGAGAAACAGCACUUGGGGACAAAUAGACAGAUCGGCACAUCUGGGAACUGCAGGGGUCUCCAUUGCACGGCAGAGGUGUCCACCAGGUCCAGGCUGGGGCCUGAUAGGGAAAGAACUGAGAUUUAUGGCCCUACAGAGCCUGAGCCUGCAGCUGACACAGCUGGGAAGUGACCAAGGGCAGCUGGAAGGAGGAGCUCUCCAAAGUCCAGACCUGUUCAACACAGUCAAGGGAGAACACAGAACCAAACUGUCGGCAGCAGGGUGGUACUGGCCUCCCAGAAGCCCCUGACCACGCUAGAAAGACGGGCUCGCGGAAUGAUCUUCAAGCCCGAAUCAUGUGCUGUGAGUCAGAGCCCCACGCACAGAAAGCACAAGUGGAGAGGCGUCACUGCUCCCUAAGGAGGCUCCCCAGGCUCCACCUCACCUGACCGCAGAGGCUGCUGAGUGGAGGGCACCGGGCCUGCCACUCACGCCCUCAACAAACAUUCGGUGAGCCCUCCUGUGUGUGAGCACUGUACUAGGCUUCUGACAUGACCUAAAGAAGCCGGUAUCUGGACAGUUGGUCACCAUCUGGAGGUGACACAUAGUUCUGCGGAACAGAGGAUGCUGAGAGCUGUUCCAGGGCACCUUAAGAAAUUAGCAUCUUUGCUGCCAGAGCUUCCUAACAGAGGGCAGACUACAGGACACGUGGAGGAGGCAGCGUGUCGGGGAGCUUAGGAACAACAGCUAACACUUAGGUGUACCUUGGCACACACCAGGUGCUAGCACUGUGCCAAGCAUGUGAUGAUAAUUCAAUAGUGUAAGAUUCAUGCAACGUAUACUUACUGAAUUUCUUACUGUGGGCCCAAUGACCAAAGAAGACCCUGAUGUCGAGGGAUGGGGAGAGCGACUCGGCCAAGAGACAACUGGGUCCUGGAAGAGUCCCGGCCCAGCACGGCCAAUGCUUUCUGCUUUCUCGUGCUGGAUAUUAGGGCAGUGAUUCAGUGAUUCUCCAAUGGGGAGGGAUGGGGGAGCUUAAUCUCCAAUUUGGGAUUUACACAGAGAUUGAAAAAGCAUAUCCAAAUGAUACUAUAAUUCUGUAUUUGGAAAAUAAAAAUUAUUUUUUAUAAUAAAAACUAGAGUAAGUCGGGCUUGAUAAAAUGGUCUUAGCUAGUGCAGAUACACAGAAAAACAAUAAUUCUCAAAGAGGGCAACGUUCUGGGGCAAGAUGCAGCAGAAUCUCUGAAGGUGUGUGUGCUAUUUUUAUACUUAUCACAAAGAAAGUUCCAGUGAAAAGAAAACAAUUAAAAAC
Molecule: long non-coding RNA, 2666 nt
Filed under: Equus caballus (horse)
Lineage: Eukaryota; Metazoa; Chordata; Mammalia; Perissodactyla; Equidae
Description: lncRNA (ENSECAG00000044803.1)
Source: RNAcentral